AGGGCACCACCAGGAGUGGAGCCUGCGGCUUAAUUUGACUCAACACGGGGAAACCCACCCGGCCCGGACACCGGAAGGAUUGACAGAUUGAUAGCUCUUUCUUGAUUCGGUGGAUGGUGGUGCAUGGCCGUUCUUAGUUGGUGGAGCGAUCUGUCUGGUUAAUUCCGAUAACGAACGAGACUCUAGCCUAUUAAAUAGACGUCGGGUUCUCUGCACUCGACGGUCUUCUUAGAGGGACAAGGUGCUUUUAGCACCGCGAAACAGAGCAAUAACAGGUCUGUGAUGCCCUUAGAUGUCCGGGGCCGCACGCGCGCUACACUGAAGGAAGCAGCGUGUAACAACCUUGUUCUAACGAACUGGGUAACCCGUGGAACUUCCUUCAUGAUUGGGAUAGGGGUUUGCAAUUGUGCCCCUUGAACGAGGAAUUCCCAGUAAACACUAGUCAUCAGCUAGUGCUGAUUACGUCCCUGCCCUUUGUACACACCGCCCGUCGCUACUACCGAUUGAAUGGUUUAGUGA
RNAcentral lists this ribosomal RNA (519 nucleotides) under uncultured eukaryote. Its description in RNAcentral is "SSU rRNA". It matches the Rfam family "Eukaryotic small subunit ribosomal RNA", at positions 1161 to 1704 of the family's 1831-position model. The record is from RNAcentral.